UUAUUUUUCGUUUACAAAAACGCAUUUUCGCUUUUUCUUGUAAAAAGCGAAACGAUGGGAGCCAAUAAGUGUGCUCUCAUACCCUACAAAUUAUUCCAUCUUUUGAAUCAUAACAAUACUUAAACUUUGUUAAGAAUCGCUAGUCAAAAAAUCAAACUGAAUUUAAAUGCGGAUAUUAAAUUACGAAAAUUAAAUGCAUAAAUUAAAACGAAAGAGACUAGGUGCCAAAGUAAACUUUAUGUUUUAUUAAGUAGAAAUGAUUUAUAUAACUUGUUUCCAAGCUAACAUAAUUCACAAGUGAACCAAAGAUCUUUCCUCUAAAUCUAGUUCAUCUCUCACAAAUUCUCUCAACUAAACUUAGGAGAAAAAUCCUCACCAGCUCUCUUAAUUUUUC
This 394-nucleotide long non-coding RNA is filed under the name Oryza brachyantha (malo sina). Its description in RNAcentral is "long non-coding RNA (OBRA_LNC001369)". Lineage: Eukaryota; Viridiplantae; Streptophyta; Magnoliopsida; Poales; Poaceae. The record is from RNAcentral.